GAUGAACGCUGGCGGCGUGCCUAAUACAUGCAAGUCGAGCGAACGGACGAGAAGCUUGCUUUUCUGAUGUUAGCGGCGGACGGGUGAGUAACACGUGGAUAACCUACCUAUAAGACUGGGAUAACUUCGGGAAACCGGAGCUAAUAUCGGAUAAUAUUUUGAACCGCAUGGUUCAAAAGUGAAAGACGGUCUUGCUGUCACUUAUAGAUGGAUCCGCGCUGCAUUAGCUAGUUGGUAAGGUAACGGCUUACCAAGGCAACGAUGCAUAGCCGACCUGAGAGGGUGAUCGGCCACACUGGAACUGAGACACGGUCCAGACUCCUACGGGAGGCAGCAGUAGGGAAUCUUCCGCAAUGGGCGAAAGCCUGACGGAGCAACGCCGCGUGAGUGAUGAAGGUCUUCGGAUCGUAAAACUCUGUUAUUAGGGAAGAACAUAUGUGUAAGUAACUGUGCACAUCCUGACGGUACCUAAUCAGAAAGCCACGGCUAACUACGUG
Molecule: ribosomal RNA, 497 nt
Filed under: uncultured bacterium
Lineage: Bacteria
Description: partial 16S ribosomal RNA
Rfam family: Bacterial small subunit ribosomal RNA
Source: RNAcentral